CCGCCCAACAGCGUCCCGGGGCGGGGCUCCCCUCGGCUCCCGGCUGCCCUUUUCCCCGCAGCCUCUGUCCGGGCUGGAGUGCACCGGCCGAGCUCCGGACACGUGCGGAGGGGCCAGCUGUGGACUUUGGGCAAAUGCAACCCCAGAAUGACUUGAAAGUAGGGCAUCUUUGGCCCUCCUGAAGAGAGGAAAUUAAAGGCGGACAGUCUGUGUAUGGAGUUUUCAGAUACCUUCACCUAAGUGAGAAACCUGCCUUCAUCAGGACCUCAGAUGUCUGACAGCCCUGUGUGACACCAAGAGAAGUAGUGGUUGAAACUACUGUCAAUGGACUGUUGCAUUGAAAUUUUGGAUCAUGUCUCACAUUUUAAUCAGGAAAAUAGGACCCCAGAGGAAUAAAUUCUGCAGGUCCCAAAGGCACAUAAAAAAGUGGCUCAGUGCCUAGGAAUUCACAUAAAGGAAAACAACCUGGAUCCCAUUGAGGAUAUUACAUUUAGUCAUCACGUCUCCUUAGACUCCUCUUGGCUGUGACAGCUUCUUAGACUUUCUUUGUUUUUGAUGAGCUUGAGUUUUGGGUCAGGUGUUUUGUAAAAAGUCCCUUCAAUUAGGAUUGAGUUUUUCUCAGGAUUAGGCUAGGCAUUAAGGAAUUUUGAGAGAACACAGAAGUAAAGUGCCAUUCUCAUCAUGUAUCAAGAGUGUAUACUAUCAAUAUGAUUUUCUCCUAUUGAUGUUAAUCUUGAUCACCUGGCUGAGGUCUUAUUUGCCAGUUUUCUCCACUGUAAAGUUACUCCCCCUCACCCAACACUGUACUCUUUGGGAAUAAAGUCACUAUGUGAAGCCCAUAAUUAAGGAGAGGGGAGUUGUGUUCUCCUUGAGGGUAGAAGGUCUACAUAAGUUAUUUGGAAUUCUUCAGAAAGAAAUUGGUCUCUUCUCCCUCAUUUAUUCAAUUUAUACUUUAGGAAAAAAAUCCAAUAAUACUUAAUUUUGUUAAAGUGUUCCAGAUUUGGCCUUUGGGAGCUGUUUCAGGUGGCUCCUAUGUCCCUUCAAUAUGCCCCCAUCAUUGUGAGGUUGUUUUAAGCACUUCUCACUAUGGCCCUAUACGAUGGUUCAGGCUCAUCUUGUAUUUUUCCUGUCCCAGUCCCAGAGUCAACCAUUUGGUUGUAAGUUUUAUCCUGGUACUCACAAGGAGCCCUGCUUCCUUUAUUGGAGAAUAAUACUAAGGAACCAAGAUCUGGGCACUAGAUGUGCUCUUGGUACUGAGGUUUUGUUGCUUCUAGGCCCUAUCAGCUGAUAGAACACUGAAGUAUAUAUGUAUGCAUAUAUAAGGAUCCUAACCAGGAUCCUUAGUUUAUAGCCCCCUAUAUUCUAUAAAUGUUCCACUUUUAAUAAUGACAUUUUAUUCUAUGGUCUUUGUUUAUUCUCUUUCAUCUAGAAUAGUGGUUGAGCUGUUGUCUUUUAUAGCAGAUGCUGUAGUUCCCAGAUGACUGAUUAUUUUUACCCUAUGAGCUCACAGUAGAGGAUGGGAAUUUUGUGUCAGCUGCCGGUAGAGAGGAGCCAAGCCCAGGCCCUGGUGUCCUAAAGAGUUGAAGGAGAAGAGAGAGAGCCUUAAGGCACAGAACCUCUGAGUUAGAAUCAGGGCUUCACCAGAGCAGCAGAUGGUCAAACUGCUUCUCCUUCCCCUCAGUUGCAAUUCUCUCAAGAACUCCAGGUGCUAGUAAGUAAGGUUGCAUUAUGCUGGCCACUCCAGCAAGUGAUGAGUUGAACAUGAGGCAAUGAAUAGGAUAGGGGAAAAGAACAGAAGUUUCGUCACCACCAAGAUUACCCCUACUCCCAUGGCACUCUACCCUUUUCUACACUGGACUUCCAUUUCUUGCCCUUGUAUAGUGGGACCCAAUCAUGAUCUGUUUCUCCAAGGGACUCUUCAUAUUUAAUUUCUCAGAUCUCUAACUUCCCUCUUAUUUGUGUAAUACCUCCAGGGCUGAGUUAGAGGAAGAGGCAAUAGCCUAUGGUAAUUACUCAUCUUGUCAAACUGGUCAUUUAAUAGAUACCCUUUAUCGGUUUAUUAGUUUUAUUAACUGAAUUCUGUUAGACAUUGGGGAUAAGUGAUGAACAAACACAUUCUCUGCUCACCUUAAUAUGUACAGUCUAGCCUUUAUCUCUCUCGCCUCAUCUUUGCCACCUUGGUUUCUUUCAGUCCUUGAUAAGCCUUUUACUACGAGGUCUCUGCGCAUGCUGUUUCUGUCUGGGUCCAUCUUCUCUACUUUGUCUAAUUUGAGAUCUCGGCUCAGACAGCACUUCUGCAGAGAAGCCACCUUUCCUGACUGAGCACCCAUUAUAUGUGUAAUUGCACUGUUUUACCACAGAGCUAGAAAGUCAGCUGCCAUGUAAGAGUCCUUUGAAAAGCUGGUAUUCACCAGCUUCUAAAGAUUUACCUCAUUCCCCUAUGGCCAAGCAGGUUCAAUUCUACUGACAACUGAUUAAAGGGCCUCAGCUGGUAAAUAUUAAUGUCUGUGUGUCAUAAUGUACCCAAAAUAGAGUAAGGCCAUAGGCAUAUCCUGUUUUUUAAUAAUACCCCAGUAAAUGAGGAUAAAGAGAUUGCUGGUUUUGUUCUUUUUAAAAAAUUUUGAAACAGAAAAAUCAUAGAAACAAGUGUCAGAUUUCCUAAUCAUUUGCUAGUGGACCCUAAAGAUAUAAUAUAGUGCACAAAUAUUUGACACUAAAUUUAGCUUGAAAAAGUAUUAAAUGAACAUAGUGGAUUUGCAGAGAAUUUGUUCAAAUUUGAGACAUCUGUUAACUAAAAUAAUGUGGGAUUUUCUUUUUUUGGUAAUCUAUAAAUGUCUUUAUAGUUAAGAAAAUUAGUAAAACAUCUUUGUGUAUAAAUUAUAGCUUGCAUAGCCUCUCUUACUAGCAGUCAUUGCGCUGAUGAAUAGGUACCAGGAUAAAACUUAUAACCAGAUUUAAGUGAGUAAUUUUAACAUGUUUACUCUGGGGCUCUAUAAAAAUGAAUAAUCUUUGAAUCUAUGGUUUUGUCAUUUUAGGAUAUUCAUGUAAAUAUGCUGCAGGUCCUGUGGCACCAUAGAAUAUUGACAAUAUUUAGUGCAUGUUGACCAUGUGCCAGAACUAUUAAAUUCAUUCUACACAUCUGUUUAUCCUCUCAACAACUCUACAAGGGACUUGGCGAGGCUACAGCUAUCUAUCUGGAGGCUUCACUUUGGCUGGAAAUUGGCACUGGCUGUCACCUGAGAGCUCAGCUGGGGCUGUUGACUGAAGCUCCUUGGUUCUGUUUUUUUUUUUUUUUUAAUUGAGGAAGAUUAGCCCUGAGCUAACAUCUGCUGCCAAUCCUCUUUUUGCUGAGGAAGACUGGCCCUGAGCUAACAUCCGUGCCCAUCUUCCUCUAUUUUAUAUGUGGGAGACCUACUACAGCAUGGCUUGACACACCUGGGAUCCGGGUCACCAAAGCGGAACAUGUGAACUUACUUAACCUGCUGCCCCACUGGCCUGGCCCUCCUUGGUUCUCUUAAUGUGGCCUUUUCAUAUUGGUUGGGAUUCUCGCAGCAUGGCAACUUGGUUCCAAGCGGAUGAAAGGAAAUCUUAUAAUUAACUUCUGCAGUCUCUGGAUCUAAGCCAGUUACAGGGCCCUUCCGGAUGCAGGUAGAGGGGAACUUGAUUCCACUAUUCCAUAAGAAGAGUGGCAAAGAAUUUGUGACCAUCUUUAAUUCACAAGCAUGUGUAUAUACAUGUAUGUAUGUAUCUACACACUAAAUGUUUAUAGAAUCCAUAGACUACACAAGAAAUGGUUGAUAGUGGGUGGCCUUUAUGUAAGGGAGUAGGGGUUGGGGAAAUCUUAUUUGUGUUCUUUGAAUUUUAUUGUGUGUAUUACCUAUUCAAAAAGUCCUUUUUAAGCCCUCGUCCCCCAUGCCACUGUUAAAAGAGCCACUGGUUGACAGUCUAAAAUAUAGGAAUGCCCUGGCUUCAUGUUUUCUUCUCUGCUCAAAACUGUAAAAGGUCUUCAUUAUCAGCUCAAAUUUCAGACUCUAUCCUGGUGUUAGAUAAUAUAGCUGUACCAAACUUGCCACUUAGACCUUUCAAAGUCUCAGGAGAAAUUCUUGCUUUGUAGCCUCAUUCUUUACCAUCCCUGGUGUACACCACACCAACUCCCAAAUAACCCAAAUGUGAAUAAAGCUCUUGAUCCAUCUCUGCUCACAGCCAGGCUCAUCUUGAGGCCAGACUCCUUGUCCAGUCUCCUAAAUCAGACCAGGAUCCUCAGGACCUAGUGAUUUGUCUUAUCCAUCAUUGAGUCCCUACACUUGUACAGUGUUCUUCAUGAAAUAGGCUUUUGAUGACUGAAGUGUUGUAUUAACUUUGGUUUUCA
Equus caballus (horse) is the source of this 4369-nucleotide long non-coding RNA. Lineage: Eukaryota; Metazoa; Chordata; Mammalia; Perissodactyla; Equidae. The record is from Ensembl.